GACGAACGCUGGCGGCGUGCUUAACACAUGCAAGUCGAACGGAAAGGCCCUGCUUUUGUGGGGUGCUCGAGUGGCGAACGGGUGAGUAACACGUGAGUAACCUGCCCUUGACUUUGGGAUAACUUCAGGAAACUGGGGCUAAUACCGGAUAGGAGCUCCUGCUGCAUGGUGGGGGUUGGAAAGUUUCGGCGGUUGGGGAUGGACUCGCGGCUUAUCAGCUUGUUGGUGGGGUAGUGGCUUACCAAGGCUUUGACGGGUAGCCGGCCUGAGAGGGUGACCGGCCACAUUGGGACUGAGAUACGGCCCAGACUCAUACGGGAGGCAGCAGUGGGGAAUAUUGCACAAUGGGCGGAAGCCUGAUGCAGCAACGCCGCGUGCGGGAUGACGGCCUUCGGGUGGUAAACCGCUUUCGCCUGUGACGAAGCGUGAGUGACGGAAAUGGGUAAAGAAGCACCGGCUAACUACGG
RNAcentral lists this ribosomal RNA (467 nucleotides) under uncultured bacterium. RNAcentral's name for it is "partial 16S ribosomal RNA". It matches the Rfam family "Bacterial small subunit ribosomal RNA", at positions 28 to 506 of the family's 1533-position model. The record is from RNAcentral.